Drosophila pseudoobscura is the source of this 379-nucleotide long non-coding RNA. RefSeq lists it as uncharacterized. The record is from RefSeq and is a predicted model, not a curated record. The transcript is spliced from 2 exons. NCBI's taxonomy places the organism in Eukaryota, Metazoa, Arthropoda, Insecta, Diptera, Drosophilidae.
UCUGGAAAGAGAAAAAGGUGAACGAAAGCAAUUAAGAACGGCUGAUGCAAUGCCAGUGGAAGUACAUUUGUAUUGGAAACAGUGAUAACGGAAACUACCGGCAGGAAUAUAAUGCUCUUAAGAGUUUCACCUACAAUUGCCCUAGGUCUUGUCUUGGCUUCCCUUCCCCCGUUCAGCAAAAUUAAAUCUCACCCAAAUAAAUAUAUUAAGGUCGUCUGCCAAAAUUUGCCGGCCCGACUGUGUUUUGGUAACUUUUAUAGUGGUGUGGUAGUAGUUGUGGCCGGCGGACACAAGAAUCGCAUUAUGUAAGCAGCGUGUAGUCCAUGCGUAUUUUAUUUGUUCAGCAAUAAAUAAACAAACUGCGUAGUUUCAUUUCUUA